GAUGUUUUUCUGGAACAUGUUUUACCAUAUCAUCUGAAAAACCCCUCAUGACGCCAUAGCACCCAUUAAAAUAGAGUGUUUGGAAAAAAAACGAAAUCUUUUGGUCCAGUGUAGAGGGCGUAGUCAGAAGAAAACGGCAACCAAUAGAAGUAAUACUCAUCAUCACUUCUAUUGGUUUCUGACACGUCCAUCAACCACCAGCACUCACCCCUCCUCCCUGCGCGUUCACCGACUCGUGAACUUGACCGACCCCGCCCCCAUCAUUCAUGCACACGCGACGAGGCUCAUCAUCACUCGGCUAGCAAGGUAACGAGAGUUAGCAGCAGGCUGAGCUACUUGGAAACUUUGCUGGCUUUUGCAGAGCUACAGGAAGAACUUUGGCUUUUGUUACACUGGACUAACCAUGUCAGGAUAACAUAGUCCCUUGGAUUAUAGUCAUUGGACUCGCAAGACCAGAUUCCAACACGGGCUGACAAUUGGAAAUGGGACCUGACACUCUUGGACACAGAUGUCGGCUACGGCAGCGGCUUCAAACAUAGGCUUUGGUGACCACAUUUCUAAUCGAGAGAAUCUAGUUGUGCGAACGAGCGACAAACCAGCUGGGAGGAUGGAAGCACCUGUUCUCAAUUCCCCUUCUCCACCCGCGUUCAGUAACUAAAUACGGAUUCACCCCGUAAUAAGUCAACCGCAGACAGGGUCCUUCCACAACCACAUACUUAUGCCAGUAAAAGCUACAGCUCUUCUCCGAUCCAAGAAGCCUGGACUGCAGUCACCAUCUCAACACACCAACCAAGAGAAAGGCGGAUGGCUCAAUUCAGUAUGUAGUUCUGCAAAUAUACUCAAAGGUCUUCACAGCCCCCCAUGGUGCUGAAUGCAUUUACAUUUAUUUUUGUAAGGUAAAAACAAUGCUGAUUACAGAUCAUAACUUGGGCCAUGAGUGAAAUUUGAGGUAGCAGCCAUCACCUGAUGGUGAGAGGUGGUCCUAAGAUCACAGAGAGAAGCAGGUUAAAAUCCCAUCCUUACCUCUCCCUACCUACAUCUCCAUCCACAGCUGAAGUGCACUUGAGCAAGGCACACAACUCCACUUUGCUCCUGGGACUGUAGCCAACACCCUGUAAAACCCUGCUGUGUAAUUUGAUGUAAUGAAGCC
Molecule: long non-coding RNA, 1150 nt
Organism: Engraulis encrasicolus (European anchovy)
Lineage: Eukaryota; Metazoa; Chordata; Actinopteri; Clupeiformes; Engraulidae
Exons: 3
Source: RefSeq, a predicted model, not a curated record